Molecule: non-coding RNA, 83 nt
Organism: Desarmillaria tabescens
Lineage: Eukaryota; Fungi; Basidiomycota; Agaricomycetes; Agaricales; Physalacriaceae
Source: the annotation of a RefSeq genome assembly
UCUCUGAUAGUAUAUCGGUUAGUACACGCGCCUGUCAUGAAUAAAGUACGCGCGAAAGCUGGGUUCGACUCCCAGUCAGAGAG